CUACGGGGCGCUGCAGUGAGGAAUUUUGCGCAAUGUGGGACCCCCUUACGCAGCAACGCCGCGUGAGUGAUGAAGAUUUUCGGAUCGUAAAGCUCUGUCAAGUGGGAAAAAAGGUUUUCGGUUAAUACCCGAAAGCUCUGAUGGUACCACUGGAGGAAGCACCGGCUAACUCCGUGCCAGCAGCCGCGGUAAUAGCGGAGGGUGCAAGCGUUGUUCGGAAUUACUGGGCGUAAAGAGCGUGUAGGCGGUUUGGGAAGUCAGAUGUGAAAGCCCUGGGCUUAACCCAGGAAGUGCAUUUGAAACUCCCAAACUAGAGUAUGGGAGAGGAGAGUGGAAUUCCCAGUGUAGAGGUGAAAUUCGUAGAUAUUGGGAGGAACAUCGGUGGCGAAGGCGACUCUCUGGAACAAUACUGACGCUGAGACGCGAAAGCGUGGGGAGCAAACAGGAUUAGAUACCCUAGUAGUC
This 465-nucleotide ribosomal RNA is filed under the name uncultured bacterium. RNAcentral describes it as "partial 16S ribosomal RNA". It matches the Rfam family "Bacterial small subunit ribosomal RNA", at positions 339 to 795 of the family's 1533-position model. The record is from RNAcentral.